This 804-nucleotide ribosomal RNA is filed under the name Staphylococcus sp. 68. RNAcentral's name for it is "bacterial SSU rRNA". It matches the Rfam family "Bacterial small subunit ribosomal RNA", at positions 87 to 877 of the family's 1533-position model. The record is from RNAcentral. Lineage: Bacteria; Bacillati; Bacillota; Bacilli; Caryophanales; Staphylococcaceae.
CGACGUUAGCGGCGGACGGGUGAGUAACACGUGGGUAACCUACCUAUAAGACUGGAAUAACUCCGGGAAACCGGGGCUAAUGCCGGAUAACAUGUUGGACCGCAUGGUCCUACAGUGAAAGACGGUCUUGCUGUCACUUAUAGAUGGACCCGCGCCGUAUUAGCUAGUUGGUAAGGUAACGGCUUACCAAGGCAACGAUACGUAGCCGACCUGAGAGGGUGAUCGGCCACACUGGAACUGAGACACGGUCCAGACUCCUACGGGAGGCAGCAGUAGGGAAUCUUCCGCAAUGGGCGAAAGCCUGACGGAGCAACGCCGCGUGAGUGAUGAAGGCCUUCGGGUCGUAAAACUCUGUUAUUAGGGAAGAACAAAUGUGUAAAUAACUAUGCACGUCUUGACGGUACCUAAUCAGAAAGCCACGGCUAACUACGUGCCAGCAGCCGCGGUAAUACGUAAGUGGCAAGCGUUAUCCGGAAUUAUUGGGCGUAAAGCGCGCGUAAGCGGUUUCUUAAGUCUGAUGUGAAAGCCCACGGCUCAACCGUGGAGGGUCAUUGGAAACUGGGAAACUUGAGUGCAGGAGAGGAAAGUGGAAUUCCAUGUGUAGCGGUGAAAUGCGCAGAGAUAUGGAGGAACACCAGUGGCGAANGCGACUUUCUGGUCUGCAACUGACGCUGAUGUGCGAAAGCGUGGGGAUCAAACAGGAUUAGAUACCCUGGUAGUCCACGCCGUAAACGAUGAGUGCUAAGUGUUAGGGGGUUUCCGCCCCUUAGUGCUGCAGCUAACGCAUUAAGCACUCCGCCUGGG